CUGGGAGAGGGCUGGCAUGAAGGGAAAGAAAAGAUGUCCGCAGUGAGACAGAUGCUCUGCGCCAUGUCUUGCAGAGAUCAAUGACAUCAGACAACAUGUGGGAGCGCAAGAGGGCCCUGCAGACCUUCUCCCAGCUGCUGGCUGCUUGUGAAGAGCAUGGAAGAGGCGAUGCCUGCAAGCACUUUGGCUCCUUGGUGGGAUUGCUGGUGCCCCUGAUGUGUGACCCCAUGCCCACAUCCCGCCAGUUGGCCGUCACCUGUCUGAGCUCCCUUCUCCAAAUCCAAGGUGAGUAGAGCAGGCGUGCGCCAGCCCUCUGCUCUCCUCCGCAGCACUACCAGAACCCCACGGGCUGGGCCCGGUUUACAGGAGGGAGAGGCACCAUGCGC
Molecule: long non-coding RNA, 386 nt
Filed under: Gallus gallus (chicken)
Lineage: Eukaryota; Metazoa; Chordata; Aves; Galliformes; Phasianidae
Description: long non-coding RNA NONGGAT001064
Source: RNAcentral